This 380-nucleotide ribosomal RNA is filed under the name Pelagostrobilidium sp. RNAcentral's name for it is "partial small subunit ribosomal RNA". It matches the Rfam family "Eukaryotic small subunit ribosomal RNA", at positions 582 to 975 of the family's 1831-position model. Lineage: Eukaryota; Ciliophora; Spirotrichea; Choreotrichida; Strobilidiidae. The record is from RNAcentral.
AUUCCAGCUCCAAUAGCGUAUAUUAAAGUUGUUGCAGUUAAAAAGCUCGUAGUUGGAUUUCUGGCGGGAUGAACACGCCCUCAGCUGAGUGUGCAUGAGCGUCUCACCAUCCUUCUGUUAACCCUUAAGGUUUUAACGACCUUCUGGGGGCUCAGAUAUUUUACCUUGAGAAAAUUAGAGUGUUUCAGGCAGGCUAGCGCCGGGAUACAUUAGCAUGGAAUAAUGGAAUAGGACUUUUUCCUCUUCUGUUGGUCUGAGGGGUUCGAGCAAUGAUUAAUAGGGAUAGUUGGGGGUGCUAGUAUUCGGCGGCCAGAGGUGAAAUUCUUUGAUCCGCUGAAGACUAACUUAUGCGAAAGCAUUCACCAAGGAUGUCUUCAUUA